Molecule: ribosomal RNA, 253 nt
Filed under: uncultured bacterium
Lineage: Bacteria
Description: partial 16S ribosomal RNA
Rfam family: Bacterial small subunit ribosomal RNA
Source: RNAcentral
UACGGAGGGGGCUAGCGUUGUUCGGAAUUACUGGGCGUAAAGCGCGCGUAGGCGGCUUUGUAAGUUAGAGGUGAAAGCCCGGAGCUCAACUCCGGAAUUGCCUUUAAGACUGCAUCGCUAGAAUCAUGGAGAGGUGAGUGGAAUUCCGAGUGUAGAGGUGAAAUUCGUAGAUAUUCGGAAGAACACCAGUGGCGAAGGCGACUCACUGGACAUGUAUUGACGCUGAGGUGCGAAAGGGUGGGGAGCAAACAGG